RNAcentral lists this long non-coding RNA (419 nucleotides) under Lathyrus oleraceus (garden pea). RNAcentral describes it as "Pisum sativum (pea) long non-coding RNA (PSAT_LNC040287)". Lineage: Eukaryota; Viridiplantae; Streptophyta; Magnoliopsida; Fabales; Fabaceae. The record is from RNAcentral.
ACUACUACUAUACAUUAGUAUUUCUAUUUUUUAUCUAUAUAUGUUUUAUAUUUAUUUUAUUUGCAUUUUAAUUUUUCAGUUAUUUAUUUAUUUAUAUUUAAUUUCUGUUUUUGUUUUUGUUUCAGUUUCACUUUUUAUUUUCGUUUUUAAUUUUAUAAAAUUAUGCAAGUCAAAGAAACUAGGAGAAUCACAAGACAAAUGCUAUCCGGUCCCCUCAAAGCCAAAAGACAAGAGAAGCCCAAACCAAAGGACCAAAAUCUGGCCCAGCCAGAUUUUGCCUUGUGGCGCCCGCCACAGCGUCUGUAAAAAAGCCAAAAGACAAGAGAAGCCCAAACCAAAGGACCAAAAUCUGGCCCAGCCAGAUUUUGCCUUGUGGCGCCCGCCACAGCGUCUGUAAAUGGUCGGGGCAGACCCCUUUU